Molecule: non-coding RNA, 26 nt
Filed under: Rattus norvegicus (Norway rat)
Lineage: Eukaryota; Metazoa; Chordata; Mammalia; Rodentia; Muridae
Source: RNAcentral
UCAAACGUGAUAGGUUCCAAUCUAGU